AUUGAACGCUGGCGGCAGGCCUAACACAUGCAAGUCGAGCGGAUGACGGGAGCUUGCUCCUUGAUUCAGCGGCGGACGGGUGAGUAAUGCCUAGGAAUCUGCCUGGUAGUGGGGGGCAACGUUUCGAAAGGAACGCUAAUACCGCAUACGUCCUACGGGAGAAAGCAGGGGACCUUCGGGCCUUGCGCUAUCAGAUGAGCCUAGGUCGGAUUAGCUUGUUGGUGAGGUAAUGGCUCACCAAGGCGACGAUCCGUAACUGGUCUGAGAGGAUGAUCAGUCACACUGGAACUGAGACACGGUCCAGACUCCUACGGGAGGCAGCAGUGGGGAAUAUUGGACAAUGGGCGAAAGCCUGAUCCAGCCAUGCCGCGUGUGUGAAGAAGGUCUUCGGAUUGUAAAGCACUUUAAGUUGGGAGGAAGGGUUGUAGAUUAAUACUCUGCAAUUUUGACGUUACCGACAGAAUAAGCACCGGCUAACUCUGUG
This 484-nucleotide ribosomal RNA is filed under the name uncultured bacterium. RNAcentral describes it as "partial 16S ribosomal RNA". It matches the Rfam family "Bacterial small subunit ribosomal RNA", at positions 30 to 507 of the family's 1533-position model. The record is from RNAcentral.